This 182-nucleotide ribosomal RNA is filed under the name Oryza sativa Indica Group (long-grained rice). Its description in RNAcentral is "rRNA LSU_rRNA_eukarya". It matches the Rfam family "Eukaryotic large subunit ribosomal RNA", at positions 2621 to 2802 of the family's 3401-position model. Lineage: Eukaryota; Viridiplantae; Streptophyta; Magnoliopsida; Poales; Poaceae. The record is from RNAcentral.
UUGACUGGGGCGGUACAUCUCUCAAAUAAUAACGGAGGUGUCCCAAGGCCAGCUCAGUGCGGACAGAAACCACACAUAGAGCAAAAGGGCAAAUGCUGGCUUGAUCUCGGUAUUCAGUACAUACAGAGACAGCAAAAGCUCGGCCUAUCGAUCCUUUUGGUUUAACGAGUUUUUAGCAAGAG